Molecule: ribosomal RNA, 253 nt
Filed under: uncultured bacterium
Lineage: Bacteria
Description: partial 16S ribosomal RNA
Rfam family: Bacterial small subunit ribosomal RNA
Source: RNAcentral
GACAGAGGUGGCAAGCGUUGUUCGGAUUCAUUGGGUGUAAAGGGUCCGUAGGUGGUCUAGCAAGUCUGAUGUGAAAUCCCAUGGCUCAACCGUGGAACUGCAUUGGAAACUGUUGGACUUGAGUACCGCAGAGGUAAAGGGAAUUCCCGGUGUAAGGGUGAAAUCUGUAGAUAUCGGGAGGAACACCAGUGGCGAAGGCGCUUUACUGGGCGGUUACUGACACUGAGGGACGAAAGCAAGGGGAGCAAACAGG